UUGGUUUUCCAGCCAGCAUCAGAACCUCUGAAAGAGCCAGGGCCUGCUCUGGAGCCAGAGGCACCUGCAGCCCUGGGUCUAACACCUUAUCUAGAGCCAGCAGCAGGGCCAGCUCCAGCACCAGGGGAAAUGCCACCUCCUGUGAAUGAGCAUGAAGUAAAGUCAGCUCCAGAGGUGCCCCCACCCCUGUCCUGGGACUGCAGAGACCAAAUCCUGUGAUGAGCUGUCUGGAAUCAUGGCAUUUCCUCCCAAGCAGCUGGCAGAACAGUUGACUCUUAUGGAUGCAGUGAGCAGCUCGGCUUUCAGGGAACUGUUCAAGAAAAUGGUCCCUAUGAGUGCCUGGGCUCUAGCUGGGGCCAUCAGAACAAGAAGGAAAAGAAGUGACUGGCACCCGCUGUCUAUGCCAUCAUGACACAACCCAACAGACUGGCCAACUGCAUCCUCACCACCUGUCUUGGAAACUAAAGCCUGACAGCCUGGGACAGGGCCAGGGUGGUGGAACACUGGAUCAAAGUGGCCAAGGAAAAGCUCUAAACAAUUUCAAGAUUUUUCUAGCAAAUGCAAGGAACUGAGCAGGAAUCCACUCAUCAAGGAGAUCAAAGUGCUCCAGAAGAUGCAGCUAUUCCAGAUGGCUGUGGAAAAUUACCAUCUUCAGCCUGAGGAGCAAUUUUGGGUCUGGUUUAAUUCAGUGGAGUACUUCAGUGAAAAUGAGAGCUCCUACCUGUCCUCCCAGCUGGAGCACCCAUCUCAGCAGGCCAGCAACACCCACUCAGCACCUGCAGUGGCUGGGGCCUAUGGGUCUAUCCACCUCACAGAGCCACCAGAGCCACCAUGCCCUGCUGUACUCAUAUCUGUGGCAGCCCAUCUAACCCAAAGCCAACACCAAGGUCUCCACAGUCUUCUCACCACUCCCGAAAUCUCAAGAAUUCUGUGCCUCAGUCUCUCCUUCAGCAGCAUGGGUGUCCUCCUCCCAAACCCAGGCUGCCCAGAGCACAAGGCUAGGCAUCCAGAGCCAUCCCCAUGUGCAGCAGCCACACUGCCUGAGCACCGCUAGCUGCUCCUGGGCCACACAGCCACUCUGGAAACUAAGUGACUUUGGUCCAAUUCUCACAGACUAGUGAGACCCAACAGGUGCUCAACUAUCAGAUGCACACUGCAGGGACAUAGCAAGAGGGUUAGAACAUACCGACAACAGCCAUUGGCUCCAGCAUCCUCAUGGGGAGUGUAUAGCACCUGCUACAUCUGGGACCCCACCACAAUGUGGACAAGGAUACCAGCCCUGCAUCAUCCUUGUCCUAGAGUGUGGGCCCCAAGAGACCCCCUUCAAGUGAGGUACUUCUCAGGUCCCAGGGACUUUGUUACUGAAGACCAACUGCUCCUCCUGCCAGGAUUAAGCCCUGAAACCUCUGCAGGUGAAACAAACGUACAUCAGGCAGGUACCCAUUACUUGGCAUGCCAGAGGUGGUCACCAUCCCCCACAAGAGAUACCACGCACCCCCCACUUUAUAGGCAGAGCUGCAGAAGAUGAACCUACCCUGAACAGAAGGAUCUGACCCAGAGCCUGGGGGUCUUGCCAGAAAACCCUCCAACUGGAAGCUGGAAACUGUUCCCUUCAAGGGCAAGGAGUGAGCAUAUUCAGCUUUGCCAACUGAUCUCUGUCCACUGACUAAACAUUGCCCUGGUCUCAUAACAGCAGCCUUCCAUGGACAACCUCUAGGUGAAGAGGCAUGAUUGUAUUUCCACAGAACUUCAUUUCAGCACAUGGAAAAUUCUAAUGUCAAAGUAUUAUAAAAUUUUAUUGUUUUGAAUUGUUUCACCAUUUAUUCUUUUUGUCACUUAUUCUUUUCACUUGGGCCACGCAAGAGCAGGCAGAAGCAGGCUGCAUUCUACCCAACUCUGGUUGAAUUGGAACUCAAAUGAGGGCUGGUAGCAUGAAGCAAGCCCAGCCUCCUUACAGCACGGAUUUGACCCAGGAUAUCUGGCCAGUUGGGUCUCACGGGCCAGUUGGGUGAGGAGGCCCAGGUGGCUGGUGGUGGGGUCCUGCCUGCAGGGAAACUGGGACCCCCAUGUCACAGUCGAUGGAGGAAGCUAUCAGAGUCCUGGAAGCUGGUCAGAGCUGGAGCCACAAAGCAGGUCACUAGCUUUCAUGUCAUGAGGAGAUUCAGGCUGUCUAUGGAGCCUAUGUUGGCAUGAAACCAAGUCCUGCCAACAAUCACAUGAGUGAGAUUGGGAAAGUCCCCUGCCACUCACAAUUGUGUCUUCAGGUGAGGCCAUAGUCCUGAAGCAGUUUGACUGCAACCUGCUGAGAAAGCUUCAGCUACAUGUACCAUGUUCUGGAGGCUGAGAAGCCCAAGAUCAAGGCACCAGUAGAUUCAGGAUUUGGUGACAGCCUGCUUCCUGCUUCAUAGAUGUCUAUUUACUAUAAUCUCAUGUGAUGAAAGAAACUGUGGACCCAGAAGAAUCCUCUCCAUCUGUCAUUGUGCCAACUUGGGAGAGGAGGUGCAGCACAAA
Molecule: long non-coding RNA, 2511 nt
Organism: Carlito syrichta (Philippine tarsier)
Lineage: Eukaryota; Metazoa; Chordata; Mammalia; Primates; Tarsiidae
Exons: 8
Source: RefSeq, a predicted model, not a curated record